This is a long non-coding RNA of Rosa rugosa (rugosa rose), 3514 nucleotides long. RefSeq lists it as uncharacterized. The record is from RefSeq and is a predicted model, not a curated record. Lineage: Eukaryota; Viridiplantae; Streptophyta; Magnoliopsida; Rosales; Rosaceae. The transcript has 6 exons.
UCAAACCUGCAUAACUCGGCCACCAAAACGUGCAAAGUCAGAUUCAAAGACAUAUUAUUGGAUUGAAACUCCAAAAAUAUAUUAUCUUGAUAAGACACUUGAGUGUUUUCCACAAAACAAAUUUAAAAGGAUCUUUCAAAGAGAGGGAAAAAAGAAGAAAAAAAAAAAGGUAAAAUUUUUCUAUGGUACCUGAUGUAUUGCUACUUAAAUAAUUUGGUACCUGGUCAAUGAAAGCAGACCAUUUCGUACUUGGAUUUAUUCUUCGUCAGACAAUUUGGUACUUCACAUCCAUUUUUUACUUUACAAGUAAGGGCAUGAUUGUCAUUUCAACCUUAUUUUCAGAAGAAAAAGAAGAAGAAAAACAAAUUUAAAAAAUAAAAUUCUAGCAAUCGACCAGCUAUUAUAACUCUUUCGAGUAUUUAUCAUUUUUUGGGUAGUAUAGAGUAUUAAUAUAAGGGUAGUUCUAGUUGGACCACCAAAUUUGAUAUUUGGACCCCCCCUCCUACUUAUUAGAACUCCAAUUCACAUUUUUAAAUACUUAAAAAACUAAGUACACCUCCUUAAUUGUACCAUAACACCGUUGAACAAUUAAAUCUCUAUCUUUAACAAUUUAUUGUUUUUUUUUAUCUCUAUCAAUUCAACCACGAAUAAUUUUGCGAAAGAGUUACCUACACUUUUGGUGUACUUUCAUCUAGUGGCAGAACCAAAAAUUGAUUCUUGGAAUGGCCGAAUGAGUAGACAAUUAUAAAGAUUUUUUUGUUAAUCCAAAUAAUAGUUUUUUUUUUUUUAAUAUGAAUGGUUUUAAAAAAAAAACUUUGGUUCUCAAAUAAAUAAUAUAUAUUGAUUAUUUCAAAAAAACAAUUUGAUUAAAUCUAAUUAAAAAGAGUUAACCUUUGAUCUUAAUUUGUAAUAAUUACACCAAGUAAUAAUUACACCAAAAUAUUCAAUGAAUUUCGUUUAAGGAAAUUUCAAAUUAAAUUGUUUUAAAUUUAGUUUUCUAUCAAAUGAGGGGGCCAUAUUUUUUUGAAAUGGACUGGUGCGGCUGCCCUCAAGCCUUGAUUAAUGAAAUUGCAGAAUACAAGGGAGGGACGUAGAGCCUGAACCCCAGAUUACAAUAAGCAUAAAGAGAAUAUCCUGAAAUAAUACCAAGACUCUCUACAAAAUCUAUGUAUUCUAACAAGCACUAAAUAGCAAAGAGUGCACGAAUGAUUACUCCAUUUGCUUUGACAUAGCGGUGACAUACCGAAAAGAUAACUCUAUCACGAAGAAGCAUCAUUACAAAUAGUACAGCUUUCCCAUUAUGCUGCCGCACGGAAAUCAAUCAAGCGACACGCAAUUUCAUUUUGCCACUAGGAGGUUGCGUCCAUUUGAUCAAGCAAAUAGGUCGCCGCCUCACUAGGCUAGACAAGGCACACUGGGUGCGCAUACCGGGACCAAGCCCACGUCGCCCUAUCGUAAAGUGAUAGGGACUUAUUACCGGCAUAAAGCCACAUCUAAUUAAAUAUAACAUACGAUAAAAUAUAAAAAUAUAACAUACGAUAAUAUAUAAAAAUAAAACAUUUUAGGACCUGAGCCCAAACCCAGACCCAGGCCCAAAAUCCAUCCAGCCCAAGCAACAAAGCCCGGGCCCAAAGAACCAAGGCAGUCAGCCUCCAUCCCUCUCGCCCACCCCAACGUCGCGCCUGCACCAUCAUGCCACCUCGCUCACACUACACCAAAAACGUUAACACACAACACUUUUUGCACAACGGAAAAAAAAAAGUGUUGUGUGAUGAAGAAAAGUUAAUCACACAACAUGUUUAGUAAACUUACGUUGUAUAUGGUGGUUAAAAUUCUGAAGUUUUUGUUUAGAAAGUCAUUGCACAACGGUUACAAGAAUAAUCUGUUGUGUGAAUCAAAAAAAAAAUUUGCGGCAGAUUUCCCUCCUAGAUGGACUCAAAUUUGGCUCCAAAUUGUACAACAGUUUAGUUAUUUGUGUUGUAGGAGUAUACUUGCAAAUCAUCAUACAAUGGUUUUUAAUGUGCCGUUGUGCAAGUAAGUGGCAGAAUUUGGAGAAGUCUCCAAAAUGACAUUCAUUCCCCCUCAAAACAAGCAAAUUUGGCUUCAAUGGUUUGUCAUGCUUGCAACUUCCUACAACAUAAUGAACUAUUUCUGUUGUGUGAAUCAGAAAUGCCUAACGUGAGCGCCAAAACUGGCAUUUUAAUUGCACAAGCGGGAAAUUUUCAUGUUUUGUUCCCUCAGCUAUGUAGCAAUUCAGACAACGUAAAUGUAUCUAUACGUUGUCUGAGUAACUUAAAAAAAAAAAAAAAAAAAAAGCUAUUGCUUAAUGCCUUAGACAACUGAGGGCACAUUUAAACAAAGUUGCUUGGCUAUUUUUCAUAGCCUCUCGAUCUCUUCUCUCAGGACGCCCAACACUCACAGCUCUCCAUCUCUCUCGCGAAAUCUCUGUCCUCCUCAUCGUUGAACUCUCACGUUCUACUCUCUCUCUCUCUCUCUCUCUCUCUUCAGAUUGCUCCUCUCCUUAUCUCACUCUUAGUCUUCUCUCGCUCACUUCUUCAUCCAACUCUCUUCUUUACCCAGAAAUCAUAGUCUUCCUCUCUCUUUCAUUCUGAAAUCCCAAAUAGGGAAACCCCAAUCUUAGAUUCCCCGAAAUCAACCAAAUCUCUAUUGGUCGAACCCUCAAUCUGAAACCCAAAUUUCAUUGACCUAACUCUCGUCUCCACAAUUAGCCGGAUUUACACUGGACAACCAUGGGCCAGGAACUUGAUGAAGAACAAGCAGCGCCGCUGGUCAUCCUCCGAUGGCAAGAUUUGGGCGAGUUGCCAGAAAAACGAGCUGAUUAUUAAGGCUCCCGAAAAGGCGAGAACGGGGGGUGGAAGAAUACCCGAUAUCCAUUGCUAGUUCCAGGUGAACUCUCUGCGAGAUUGCACAAUUUCAAGAACUCCCACUGCUUAUUUCUGGAAUCUCUUCUUUCUUGCUUCUGGGGCCUUCUUAUUUGCUGAUCUCGCAUUGUUCUUUUACAUGGAAUUCCAGGGACUAGAAAAACCGCUUUAUGUAAAGCAUUAGCUCAAAAACUAUCCAUCUGAUUUAACUCCAGAUACCUACAGUCCCAAUUGCUUCAAAUUAAUGCACAUUCUCUAUUCAACAAAUGAUACUCUGAAAAUGGCAAGCUGAUGAAGUUGAAAGUCUCGCUGCUAUUAAAAAAUUUGCUUGAUCGAGUUUGGAACCUUCAGAUUCUAUUCAGGUUCUGGACUGGCUUUUUUGGCUGAGGUGUCUUUGGUUGGACAUUUGGACAGAAAUUGCAAACCACUCGCUUCAACUUUAAAGGUUUGACACCAUGGCUGCACAGAUUAAGUUCCUGGAAUAGUGGGAAGACAAGAGUUUGUAUCAAUAUGUUGGCUAUUGAAACCAAGUUCCUGCACAAACUCUAUAUGUGGCAUGUUUUACGUAGUUGUAUCAGCUUUUGGGAAAUGCUUUUAACAUUAAGAGAUAUAUGGAAUAGGUUUGAUUACUC